This 414-nucleotide ribosomal RNA is filed under the name uncultured microorganism. Its description in RNAcentral is "bacterial SSU rRNA". It matches the Rfam family "Archaeal small subunit ribosomal RNA", at positions 330 to 745 of the family's 1478-position model. The record is from RNAcentral.
GUGCAGCAGGCGCGAAACCUUCGCAAUGCGGGAAACCGCGACGAGGGGACUCCCAGUGCCUACGCUCAGCGUAGGCUGUUCCCGAGCCUAGAAAGCUCGGGGAGUAAGGGCUGGGUAAGACGGGUGCCAGCCGCCGCGGUAAUACCCGCAGCCCGAGUGGUGGCCACUAUUAUUGGGCCUAAAGCGUCCGUAGCCGGCCCGGUAAAUGCCUGGGUAAAUCGUGAGGCCUAACCUCACGAAUUCCGGGUAGACUGCCGGGCUAGGGACCGGAGGAGGGAGAGGGGUACUCCAGGGGUAGGGGUGAAAUCCUGUAAUCCCUGGAGGACCACCGGUGGCGAAGGCGCUCUCCUAGGACGGGUCCGACGGUGAGGGACGAAAGCCAGGGGAGCGAACCGGAUUAGAUACCCGCGUAGU